AGAGUGGCGUGGACUUCUCAGGGAUGAUGUGACUUGAUGUGAUCCGAUGGGAUAGCAUGACAAUCAUGCUUGAGGUUCACCUGCUUGGUCGAUACCCAUGCCUUGAGAUCCCAACUCAUAAGCGGGGACCACAAUCGGUGGGAGGAUGAGAAUCUGGAGUCGAGAUUGGAUCCGAUAUGGGUCGGAGGAAGGAGACCCAGAAGUCGACUGAAUGAGCUUGUCGAGUGGUGCCACCGAGUCAUCCAUUCAGAUUAGCCGCUAAUCGGAGUGAGGUGAAGGAGAUCGAAAGCAAACCGAGAUGAGCAUUUCGCUUACUAGUAGUUUUAGGGCAGGUCGGUUAUGGGUUGAUGCCAUUAGUCCAGGUGAUAUUAAGUUCGGACUUAUAACGAGUUCGUUCUUCUGG
Molecule: long non-coding RNA, 403 nt
Filed under: Elaeis guineensis (African oil palm)
Lineage: Eukaryota; Viridiplantae; Streptophyta; Magnoliopsida; Arecales; Arecaceae
Description: long non-coding RNA (EGUI_LNC068775)
Source: RNAcentral